GUGGGGAAUAUUGCACAAUGGGGGAAACCCUGAUGCAGCGACGCCGCGUGAAGGAAGAAGGUUUUCGGAUCGUAAACUUCUAUCAGCAAGGAAGAUAAUGACGGUACUUGACUAAGAAGCCCCGGCUAACUACGUGCCAGCAGCCGCGGUAAUACGUAGGGGGCAAGCGUUAUCCGGAUUUACUGGGUGUAAAGGGAGCGUAGGUGGCGAUGUAAGUCAGAUGUGAAAGGCUGGGGCUCAACCCCGGGACUGCAUUUGAAACUAUGUUGCUGGAGUGCAGGAGAGGUAAGUGGAAUUCCUAGUGUAGCGGUGAAAUGCGUAGAUAUUAGGAGGAACAUCAGUGGCGAAGGCGGCUUACUGGACUGUAACUGACACUGAAGCUCGAAAGCGUGGGGAGCAAACAGGA
Molecule: ribosomal RNA, 406 nt
Filed under: uncultured bacterium
Lineage: Bacteria
Description: bacterial SSU rRNA
Rfam family: Bacterial small subunit ribosomal RNA
Source: RNAcentral